CAAGCUGGCUUUGUUCAUGGAGAACCGGGAUACUUGGCUUUGGCCAGCAUUUACAGCACCACUGGCUUGAAUUCAGUCAGUCCCCUAACUUCUAAAACCUUGAAAUAACCAUGUGAAAUUAUAGUGUAGUUAGUAAAAACUGCUGGGAGAGGUAAUGCAACCAGAAUCACUGAGCAGGCUCAUCUGUCCUUCUUUUCUUACCACUCCUCUUAUAGUUUUAAAAAUUUUUAUGACAAACAGGGGAUGAUGCUCUUUUGGCUACUGAGGGAUCCCACAUAUCGAAGCUGCAAUUCAAUUUUCUGUGAAGCUUUUCAGAAAUCUUCAACACUGCAGAAAAAUUUAGCAUGGAUUAACUUCCAGCUGAGAAAAUAAUAGGUGGAAGUUUUGCUCCUUUCCAUACAGGAGAACAAAACCAUGGAUAUUUUAAAUAAGAUUGUAGUGAUUUCUUCUCUAUGUGUAAAUCAUUGUUGAUAAAUUGGUGUAGAGGAGGCAGCUACUGAUUUAGCAGUUCAGGCCUUUACCUACAACUCCAUAUGUGUAAUUUUGUUUGUGUGAGCCUGACUCCUUCAAACUUGCACUUUUUUUCUUUUUUUUUCCCUGCAGACACUGAUUCGAAGAGCAGAGAAAUAACCACAGUCAUUCAAUUUUCAUUUGAGAUCUCUUUUCUAGGCUACCACAAUAUUUGCAGCAUUCUAAUGUUAGAAAGAAAAUACAAGGUCUUGGGGUUAAAUUCCAUGGCAUGUUUCAACUUCUUUAAGUUCCUGUGGAUCAAAAGCCCUAUGUAACUGCUCUGAUUUAGACUGGAAAUGUGCAAAAACAGCUAUUGCCUUCCCGGGAGUCCAAAGCAAUGCCUGUAACAGUCUCAGUUUUAGUUUUGUUCUGUUUUUUUCUUUCCAUCUGGCUGAAGGUGCUUAAAAUGACAAUUGUGUACCUAGACCUACAGCCUGAGCCCAGCAGUCCCUUGCACAGAACCAUAUGGGGGAACCUCAUGGUGACCUGCAGGUCUGUUUUCAAGAGAAGUGGUGUUGCCUGCCUGAGGGCUCUGCAGGGCAAAGUACCCAUCACUGGCAGCUGGGGCUCCUCUGGGGCUCAGGUGGGAGCCAGGCAGCUCAACAGCUUGCAGAUGAGCAGGAGCCUGCGCUCAGCUUCUUUGCUCCUCGAUGAGGAGACACAAGAGCAUGUUUCUCUUUGCAGGGGAAUACAUGCUGGAUGUAUGCUGCUGAGAGCUCCAUCAGAUUGAUUUAACACUGCUAUAGAUGUUAUGUAGAUGACUGUGAAUAGCUGGGAAAGAAUGUUUUAAUUGCUCGUGAGUUGCCAACCUGUUUGGGAGUUUCAGAACAACUGAUAAUAACCGGUGACUGCUGGUGACUGUUAUGGGAUCCUUGGUAUCUGGCCAGGGGGGCCAAGAGAUUAAGAGGAAGAGAAAAGAAGCUGAAGGACGGUUGGGAGACAAGACCUGCGGAGAGUGUACAGAGAGUGUUCCAUAAACUUGGGAUAGUGCCAAGUAAGUACAAAGGGUGAGAGGAAGACUACGAGCCUUCAGCAUGAAAGACCCCUAGAGACCCCCAGAGGAGACUGAUGCGCAUGCUCCAGUAGGAGGAACUGGACCCCGGAAGCUAAUUAUAAUAAUCUACUUUUUUAGAAGUAGUAAUGAAUAUGUAUUAGUCUAGGUGCAUAAAAAUCAGCAGCUUGAUGUAACUGGUGUGCGUCCUGGUGGAGCGGAGACUCCCGGUGCACCCAGCGCUGUUUGCUUACCUCUAUUCCUUUAUAUUCUUUUAAUAAAUCCUAUUUUUUUAUUUAAUCCUAAUUUGAA
RNAcentral lists this long non-coding RNA (1813 nucleotides) under Anas platyrhynchos platyrhynchos (common mallard). Its description in RNAcentral is "lncRNA (ENSAPLG00000017322.1)". Lineage: Eukaryota; Metazoa; Chordata; Aves; Anseriformes; Anatidae. The record is from RNAcentral.